AUGGCCAGGAGGGACAGGCCCUCCCAGAAACUGCCGGGAGGGAUAAGCACUCCCAGAAUCUCAGUCCCAGCCCUGGCAGGCCCCAGGCUGAGAUGCUGCCUGUGCCAGCCCCUGUGCAGUGCUGCAGGGUGGGUGCUCCUUGUUCCCCGGGGGCUGUGCCUCCUGCAGAAAGAGAAAAAUCUCUUGAGGAACAUCCAAAGAGGUGCCUGGCACUCGGAGAUGUGUCUCACUGAAGGUGACAGCAGCAGAGAGCAUUGCAAAUCCAAGGGGAAGAGGACAAACAAACACCUGAGCCUGGAGGGAGCAGCUCCUCCCUGGGCCCUGCAGGAGUGCAGCAGCCUCAGAGCAUCUUCCCCUGCCCUGCCCCCAGCUCACAGGCUCCUCGCUGCUUCUGAGAUGAAAGGUGGAAAAUUCCCAUCUGUGCUGCUGGAUUCUGGUUGUUCCUUUGGAAAGCUGAGGCCCAAGUCAUUGAUGGGGUCAGAAGAAGAUUAUCCAGGGCCUGUGGCAGCAGGCACAGGGAAUGUGGGAUCUCAGUUGGGCAUCCCCGUGGCCCUUGCCAGCUUCCAGCUCCACAGGAAGAGUGGAUGGAGCCACAGCCACUGUCCUGCCCUUGCAUAGCAGGGCAGGGAGCAGGGCAGAGCAGAGAGAGAUGCUGUGUGCCAAAUGUCCCCUUGCUCCUUCCCAGCAGCCACUCCCUCUCCUUUCACUCCUUUAUGGACACACCAGGCUCCCGGGAGGUUUUCCCAGCCCAGCCUGGAGCUCCUGAGCAUUGAGGGAAUUCACGUGCUGCCCACAGCCCUCCACACUUCUCACUGCUUCUCAUUAACUCCUCCUCUGGCCCAGCUUUGUCUGGGAAAACAUCCCAGAUCCAGCAGGGAACAGCGAUGUCUGCACCGGUUCAACACACAGGCUCCGAGUGGUGCAACAGCACCUCCACCUUUCUGCCCUAAAAUUCCUCUUGAAGCACAUUCCUCCCUAGAAAACCUCUCCAAACACAGCCCUUGAUGGGCCCAUGGAAUACAGGUCUGAGCUCUGUGCCACCAGCUGGGAAACGGGGGACAAAGCCCAGAAAAUGCAGCGGGCCUGUGAUAAAAAAUUUACAUUAUAAAGAAAGGAAAUACAGAAUAAUGCAAUGAAUGGUGUCUUCUCUCAAGAAGAAAAAAAAGAGCUGCUCUCCCAUGGGUGAUGUUGAUGUAGGUUCUCAUAUUACAGGGGUUUGUAUUCGGGUUAAAGAAAAAAAAGAAUAAGCAUAGAAAGCCCGUUUUCAGUAAAAAUGAAUCGUGUUAAUAAGGCAGCAAGUGCUGAGAACAGGGAAAGCUCUGCCUGUCCAACUGCCCCUGGUGGCUAUUUCUGGCUUACAAGGCACUUGAAGCAUCCUGGCAGCCCACAGUGGGAAAUGUUGUCCAGAUCCAGCAGGAUGGACACUCAGCUAAACAGAAUCCCCCAGGUUCGUGAGGACUUUCCAGCCAAACCUGCCAGCAAGGCAGCCUCUCACAGGAGCAAUUCAUAAACUGCAGCAAAAAAGCAAAUAAUUCAACCCCGAACUCCUCCAAGCCUUGUUCUAUAAAUAAAGCCGUUGUAACACAGUUUUUAUAUUUCA
Long non-coding RNA from Zonotrichia albicollis (white-throated sparrow), 1600 nucleotides. NCBI's taxonomy places the organism in Eukaryota, Metazoa, Chordata, Aves, Passeriformes, Passerellidae. The record is from Ensembl.